Long non-coding RNA from Astatotilapia calliptera (eastern happy), 385 nucleotides. Lineage: Eukaryota; Metazoa; Chordata; Actinopteri; Cichliformes; Cichlidae. The record is from Ensembl.
CCCAAAGAUUCAAAGAAUUGGGAGAUUUCAACAACUUGGUGCCGUGUGACCCGGAUCUUUGGCGUGCUGAGGAGGUGCAGAUUUGGCCUUUGGUGAGAUCGUGGGGCAAGGUGAACAGAGGACCGGUCCAAAUAUAAAAAGGUCUCAGACAGCGGCUCCUCCUCCUUUAGGCGGAGUCCGGUUGCCCCUCCCUGGCUGACCACCUGUGAGCAAUCGUGCCAGCGGUAUAUCAGACCUGCGCUCUCAACCACUCAUCGCCUGAGUAUCUGCUAUUCCCAUCGAUAGCACCCGGAGUGGAGAUCUUGUUCCCCUCGCUCCCGUCCUCCUGGACCUGGGCCGCCAGCUGCUUACACAACGUGGCCUGCCGGCCCACCGCUCACCUGCC